UUGACCUCGAAUCAGGUAGGAAUACCCGCUGAACUUAAGCAUAUCAAUAA
This 50-nucleotide ribosomal RNA is filed under the name Erysiphe cruciferarum. RNAcentral's name for it is "partial 28S ribosomal RNA". Lineage: Eukaryota; Fungi; Ascomycota; Leotiomycetes; Helotiales; Erysiphaceae. RNAcentral also lists the same sequence under 7 other names. The record is from RNAcentral.